RNAcentral lists this long non-coding RNA (431 nucleotides) under Junco hyemalis (dark-eyed junco). RNAcentral describes it as "lncRNA (ENSJHYG00000007894.1)". The record is from RNAcentral. Lineage: Eukaryota; Metazoa; Chordata; Aves; Passeriformes; Passerellidae.
GUGAGGCGAGGGGCCGGGGCUGCGGCCGGGCGGCGACGCUCGGGGCCGGCGGUUUCCCAGGCGAUGGGUGGGGAGAGGAGGAGGAGGAGGAGGAAGAGGAGGAGGAGGGGUCCUCGCGGCUUUAUCUCCCACCCGGCUCCGCCCGCCGUCGGCUGUCUCCCGUGACCGCAAGCGCACCGGCGGGCGCAGCGCGGGCAGGGCAGCGCCCAUGGGCUGCGGCAACUCCACGGCCGGCAGCGCGGGCGGGCGAGGUGCUACAGGGACUACUAAAGAUGUGUAAGUACUUACUCUUCUCUACUCUUUUAAAUAUAUAACCCUGGACAUAUUUUCAGUCAUACUAGCCUUAUACUAGAUUUAGUCAUACAUGAUUAAUCUGGCUUCUAACAUAUAAUCAACACAACCAGAUGUUUACUGUCUUUAGUGACAGCUUU